Molecule: non-coding RNA, 2800 nt
Organism: Lolium perenne
Lineage: Eukaryota; Viridiplantae; Streptophyta; Magnoliopsida; Poales; Poaceae
Source: RefSeq, a predicted model, not a curated record
CGCCGCCUGGAAGGAUGGGAGCUCUGUUCUUGCAGCGGUGGGUUUAAGCGGAGCUAGAAGGGGUGGACCGAUGGUCUGCGUGGGAUGUGGAGGAGGGUUUCCUCGCCGUACCUGCGGCGGACGAAGAGAGGGGAUGAGAUGCGAGAGCCCGGAGCCGUGGUCGACUGAAGCGGUAGAAGCAACGGCAGCGGCAGAGAUAGGGGAACUAAAGAGGAUUUAAGUAGUUUGCAUCUCCAAUGCCGUCAGCAAGCUGUCGCCACAGAAGCAGGAGAAAGGAGCAGUCGACAGAACAACUCAAGCAGGUGCAGAUCGAGCUCACACCGACUGGUAUGUUAUACUUCCUUCUGUGGUUACUGUGAAGCAACAUAUCCUAGAAUCUGUAAUCGUGCCGAACCAUCCUGCGUAGAUCUGAACCAUAAUUUUGGCACUAAGGAAACCACGGAGCAAAAGCUAGAGGAACAAAACAACUAUAACACUCUGAAGCAUACUUUAACUAUGAAUGUAACUUCAGUUUGUCAUUCUGGUGAUUAAUGAAGCUCUCCUUUGGUAGCUUGAUUCAUAAUCAAAAACUCGGUUGUAGGUAGACAAAAUCAUGUAGACACAGUAGAUCAAUAUAAACUGGUUUUUUUUUCUGGAACAAUAAAAGGAGACAUAAAACGGGAAACAGAAAGAGAAGCUCCUGAUAUAUUUGUUGACUGCAAACAUAUGCAACAAAAACAGUACAAAGAACAGAACUGAAGAAGAUAGUAACACGUUCAAUAGGAAGGUACAAAAGAAAACAGAGUAGCAGCUACAUGGUUUUCCUAUCUAAACUAAGUUCAUUAUCUCUGUGAGGGAUCCAUCUCUGUAGAUAGUGUGAGCACUGAAAAUCCAUAACCAUCAAGUACUGGAUUGUCGAAUCUGAGUCCUUGAACAUGAACCUAGUUCUGCAAUUAAUAUCGAGUGAUUAAUUAGUACUCUAUGCAUAGUAAAUGGAAUUUUCCAAAAUAAGCAACAUGUAAAAUCUCACUGUACCUAUACUUAGACAGGAAGCGCUCCAUCUAAGAUAGCAUCCACAUAUAUGACACAUCGAGCAGUGGUCACUCACUUGCCAUCUGGAGAUACUUGGGCCAAAGCAGCUAGAUACCCGAACCAUGGGUGUAUAGCUUCAGUAGUAGCAGACCAUCCAGUACAUUUGUAUGUUAUAAAUGUGUUGCCAAGAUCCGAAGGACUGUCAUUUGUUACCGUCGUGUACGUUCUCACCAGACAAAAUGGAGCUAACACAUAUUCAAUUAUUGGCACUGAAUUUAAGUUGCAAGGUAGGCCAGUUAUUUUGAGCUGAACAAUUUGGGUUUCCACGCAACAAACUGAAGGCCAUUGUAUUAUUAGUUCAAUCUCUCCAUUGGUGAUCCAUUCAUGGAAUAGAACUUAUAUCAUUUUGUGCAAAGACAUAAAGGGGUAAUCUGGUCAAAGUAUAACAGGAAUGCACCAUCUUUUACGUUUUCUUCGACAAACUCACUCAUGUGCCAUAAGUAAGUAGCAGACUUAGGAUGCAAAAUUACAGCUGAAGAGUACUUUUGGAUAGCUUUAACAUCAACCAUUCUUGGCGAAAUGAAACAUUCAGCUAGGAACACUAUGUUUGUGUUGGUUAUCUAAUUAUGAUCUAUGCAAGCAUGUACAAAAGCCAAUGAAGUAACCAAUGGAUAAUUUAACUGGACAGUGGUCCUUUUACUAAUAGAGCAAGCAAUGCACAUGCUAAAACAAUCAAAAUUGUAGGGUUACAAAAAAUUUGUGCGGAUUCUUCUAUUCCAUUACAUUCUUAGUGUUCAUCUUGGAAUCAUUUACUUCUGAAAUCUCUUGGCAAAUCAGGAGCAACCUUGAAAAUCCACUCUACUCACUGGAUUCUGUACUUCUCCUAUCAAUAUGAAGAAGAGCUAGUUUUAUUCAAGUAAAUUCAAGAAGUUUCCUUACUAUGCAUGAAUAAAGCAGUGAUAAAGACAGUAAACUUCAACUAUGAAAGAAAACUCUUAGAAAAGGUAAGGCAUAUGUAAGACACGAAUCUUAAUGUAAUUUAGCAAUUUCUACUCGUUAACUUCUCAGUUGUGAGGAAUGGCACACCUGAACUUCCACUCUCAAAGCCACAGUCAGUAUCCAGCCAAGAAUCCAUGCCAUCCAUCACUUUAUCUUCUCAACUUGGUACUACUUGCUCAAUAGUUUGAAUCUCUUACUACCUUAUUAUUUUCUAACCUGAAUGAAAAGAUCUAAAAAAUAGUGCUGCUGAUUGAAAGUAGAAAAAAAGGAUAUGGUACCAUUAAUGAGUAAGAGUAUGGCAUAGAAAGUAGAUAAAUACCAUCUUUGAUCCAAGUUGAAACCAAGGAUGGCUCACGUUAUACAUGAACUAUUUACCAAGUAAAAAAAUGUGUAAACUGCAAAAAAAUCCGUCUUAGUUCCUUCUUUCAGAACUAACUGAAGAAAAGAACAUCUAAUGAACCUCAUAUCAUGUCUUUAAUUGUUCAGGAGUCGACAUGCAGUAAAAUAGAAAUACCCAGCCAUGAUUUUAUCUCAACUAAAAUACCGUGAAGGUUUACUCAAUCUGGCAUAAUAUUGUUCAAUGCAAAUUGCAACUAUUACAUUGAUCAUUUAUAAGGAAGAAUGAAUCGGACAUAUAUGGAAUGAGAACACGCUAAUAAUACUCACCUAGAUUUUGGAGACUAAGUUUAGGUGCUUUUUUUUGGAGGAAAAAUGUGGAGGAUCCUCUACCUUUUAGCUUCAUUCAGCAUCGCAGCAAUUGUUACAUUUGCAUCAUGGAGACAAAUAAAAA